RNAcentral lists this ribosomal RNA (230 nucleotides) under uncultured bacterium. Its description in RNAcentral is "partial 16S ribosomal RNA". It matches the Rfam family "Bacterial small subunit ribosomal RNA", at positions 562 to 791 of the family's 1533-position model. The record is from RNAcentral.
AAAGCGUGCGCAGGCGGUUUUGUAAGUCUGAUGUGAAAUCCCCGGGCUCAACCUGGGAAUUGCAUUGGAGACUGCAAGGCUAGAAUCUGGCAGAGGGGGGUAGAAUUCCACGUGUAGCAGUGAAAUGCGUAGAUAUGUGGAGGAACACCGAUGGCGAAGGCAGCCCCCUGGGUCAAGAUUGACGCUCAUGCACGAAAGCGUGGGGAGCAAACAGGAUUAGAUACCCCAGU